Molecule: ribosomal RNA, 252 nt
Filed under: uncultured bacterium
Lineage: Bacteria
Description: partial 16S ribosomal RNA
Rfam family: Bacterial small subunit ribosomal RNA
Source: RNAcentral
UACGGGGGAGGCAAGCGUUGUUCGGAAUUACUGGGCGUAAAGGGCUCUAGGCGGCCAACUAAGUCAUACUGAAAUCCCUCGGCUUAACCGGGGAACUGCGUCUGAUACUGGAUGGCUUGAGUUCGGGAGAGGGAUGCGGAAUUCCAGGUGUAGCGGUGAAAUGCGUAGAUAUCUGGAGGAACACCGGUGGCGAAGGCGGCAUCCUGGACCGAUACUGACGCUGAGGCGCGAAAGCGUGGGGAGCGAAACAGG